RNAcentral lists this transfer RNA (77 nucleotides) under Abditibacteriota bacterium. Its description in RNAcentral is "tRNA-Trp(cca)". It matches the Rfam family "tRNA". From Rfam's summary of the family: Transfer RNA (tRNA) molecules are approximately 80 nucleotides in length. Their secondary structure includes four short double-helical elements and three loops (D, anti-codon, and T loops). Lineage: Bacteria; Pseudomonadati; Abditibacteriota. The record is from RNAcentral.
UACGGGUAUAGCUCAGCUGGUAGAGCAAUGGUCUCCAAAACCAUAGGUCGUGGGUUCGAUCCCUACUGCCCGUGUCC